Molecule: long non-coding RNA, 96 nt
Organism: Fundulus heteroclitus (mummichog)
Lineage: Eukaryota; Metazoa; Chordata; Actinopteri; Cyprinodontiformes; Fundulidae
Exons: 4
Source: RefSeq, a predicted model, not a curated record
AGCACAUAUUUGUACCAAUCAUGGGAGAUAGCUCGUCAAAGCCAGAAGUUCGGGUUGAACGCAAAGUUCAAGUUGUACAAGAUCCUCCACCAUCUC